GCCAAUGUGGUGUAGUGGUUUGAGUGUUGGACUACAGCUCUGGAGACCAGGGUUCAAUUCCCCAUUUGGCC
Molecule: transfer RNA, 71 nt
Filed under: Phrynosoma platyrhinos (Desert horned lizard)
Lineage: Eukaryota; Metazoa; Chordata; Lepidosauria; Squamata; Phrynosomatidae
Description: tRNA-OTHER
Source: RNAcentral